Molecule: long non-coding RNA, 292 nt
Organism: Chinchilla lanigera (long-tailed chinchilla)
Lineage: Eukaryota; Metazoa; Chordata; Mammalia; Rodentia; Chinchillidae
Exons: 2
Source: RefSeq, a predicted model, not a curated record
AAGCCACGUCACAGCCGGACUGGGCCAGGAGCCAGCUCUCCACUUCCGACUGCAGCCACCGGGAGGUCUCUGCUGGGUAGAGGCAGGUUCGUGCUCAGAUUCAUUCAGAAGGACCCAGGGGAGGAGGGACUGGGUGCAGAGGAAAUCGGAUUGACUAACUGUGGAAGCCGGAUGCCAGGUACCCAAGAGUUCAUCGCACUAUUUCUGCAGUUGGGUGAACUUUUAAAUGCUGAUAUCUUGUGCUCUGAGUAACUAAUUUAAAAAGAUGACAAUACAAAACGUAUUAACUAUU